Molecule: ribosomal RNA, 301 nt
Filed under: uncultured bacterium
Lineage: Bacteria
Description: partial 16S ribosomal RNA
Rfam family: Bacterial small subunit ribosomal RNA
Source: RNAcentral
CAGUAGCCGCGGUAAUACGUAUGUCACAAGCGUUAUCCGGAUUUAUUGGGCGUAAAGCGCGUCUAGGUGGUUAUGUAAGUCUGAUGUGAAAAUGCAGGGCUCAACUCUGUAUUGCGUUGGAAACUGUGUAACUAGAGUACUGGAGAGGUAAGCGGAACUACAAGUGUAGAGGUGAAAUUCGUGGAUAUUUGUAGGAAUGCCGAUGGGGAAGCCAGCUUACUGGACAGAUACUGACGCUAAAGCGCGAAAGCGUGGGUAGCAAACAGGAUUAGAUACCCGUGUAGUCCCUGUCUCUUUACAC